This 253-nucleotide ribosomal RNA is filed under the name uncultured bacterium. RNAcentral's name for it is "partial 16S ribosomal RNA". It matches the Rfam family "Bacterial small subunit ribosomal RNA", at positions 524 to 776 of the family's 1533-position model. The record is from RNAcentral.
UACGGAGGGUGCAAGCGUUGUCCGGAAUCACUGGGCGUAAAGGGCGCGUAGGCGGCCUGCUAAGUCGAACGUGAAAUCCCCGGGCUCAACCCGGGAACUGCGUCCGAUACUGACAGGCUUGAAUCCGGGAGAGGGAUGUGGAAUUCCAGGUGUAGCGGUGAAAUGCGUAGAUAUCUGGAGGAACACCGGUGGCGAAGGCGGCAUCCUGGACCGGUAUUGACGCUGAUGCGCGAAAGCCAGGGGAGCAAACGGG